CGCAUGUAGUCUGUGUGCACUCAGGAUCGGGCGUGAGCCUCCAUCAGUCGGCGGAAUCAUAAUAGUUCUGGCCCGGACUCGUCGGAACGAGCGCGCGAACUGUUUCUUUCUUUGGAUCAGUUCGGACUGGAGGCUUUGUGGACAGAGUUUAUAACAGUUCAAUCUUUUCUUCAGCCCUGGAUUAAUAGGAAAUGAACACAUCGGCCAUCCCCCACUCUUCCACUACUGAUGAUUUGUUGGGUGUCAUGUGAGGGUUAUGACAUUCCCACUUCUCCACUUGCCUCAUCAAUGUUUCCCGUAAAGCCACCAAACAAUGUGUAUGAACAUUUUACAGUUUUUUAUGGGUUUCACAUGACUAGUUGGAGUUGGAUAUUGUAUUUUGGCUAUAAAAUCUUUGUUAUUUAUACCAUGGU
Micropterus dolomieu (smallmouth bass) is the source of this 413-nucleotide long non-coding RNA. RefSeq lists it as uncharacterized. The record is from RefSeq and is a predicted model, not a curated record. NCBI's taxonomy places the organism in Eukaryota, Metazoa, Chordata, Actinopteri, Centrarchiformes, Centrarchidae. The transcript is spliced from 3 exons.